CCGGGCGUGUAGCCGGCGCGGCGCUUUCUCUCUCUGGCCUCCCGGACGGGGCCCAUUUUGACGUACUUGUCGUCCAGUCAGAAAAGAAGCCGUUCCCAAGCCCACGUGCUUUCCUCAGUGAGACAAAGGAUGCACAAGACAGACAGCACUGUCAGGUCACCGCGCUGCCCAGGAAACAGAAGCACGUCUGAGAAGAUGUCUCCAUCCCUCCACCUGAGUGUUGUGUGGCAGGUGCAGCCAUAGCUGUGGAUCUUCCAGUGAUUCCUUCUUCAGCUGGAACCUGAGCUAUGGAACAGAGACUGGGAGAGUACUGUGCUUGGAGUUGCUCCGCUCCUUGGAAAGACUUGCAGCAAUGCCAGAGUCAAGGCCAGGAAGAGGAAGAGGACUAGAGGAAAAUAGAAAGACUGGCUUGCCUGGAGCUGUUGGAAGCUUGUGAUCAUUGCCUUUCCUAUGACAGAGGCCCAAACUGGCUCCCACUGGGCAUGUUUUUAUGAGACCUUUGGAGUUGCUCCCACCACUCUACUGAAGACCAUUCCCUAAAGCUGAUGGACUAUCUCUCCAACUUUGUAUGACACUCCUAUGGCUCCUAUCUUUUGGCAGUUUAUCCCAAUUGGCCUUUUCCCACUGGGGUUCUCUCAUCUCAGGUAGAUCUUGGGCAGCUUCUUUUCAAGAUAGCUCCAACCCGAGUACUUGCUGGGGCAACAUACAUGUGGCUCGCAGGUGCUCACAUACCUUGCUCUGUCUGUCAUUUAUAGAAGUGCAGCUUGCUCUGUUUGACCCUCUCUCCUUGUGACCAACCAACACCAACUCGCCUCUUGCCCUCGGAGUUCUUUAGUUCCUGCAAGUUCCAAAGAACACAGUUUGGGGUUCUCCCAAGAAUUCACUAAUGCUUUGUAACUGCCCAAAGCUGGCAUCCACCUAGGGAGUAAGAGGCCAGCCUCUAUGUGUGACAAGUAUCAUCAGUCACUAUGCUUUUCUUGAGGCCUAAUUUCUUUGCUUAAGGGAGGGAGAAGAGCAUUGAAGAAAGAAAGGAAGACCCCCAUAGUACUGUCUACUCCAGUAAGGUAUCUCCUGUUGAUGAAUCUUCAACCUUGUUUUGAUAGCACUAAAAACUCAGCUUGGGCACCCAUUGACACCUUGCUUUAGAUCGCUGGGGUACUUCUUACCAGUUUUUUAAAGCUUUGAAACUUUAGCCAAAAUUCUGAGGUGGCAGAAAAUGUCCCCCUUUGCACCUUGUUAUGUCUGUGUCAAAAGCAUAUAUAACUUAUCAAACCUGUGAUGUUGUAGACAUUAUUGUUGAGAGUUACAAUAGAUACAAAAAAUAGGAAGCUUAAAGAAAAAUGAAAUAGAUAAUAGCAUAAGUGGCUCACAGAUAUGGCAAAAUCCAUUAUGGCAAUAUUCUUAAGCCAUCAUGCUAAGCAGGAGAAUAUAAGGCUGAGGCAGCAUAUUCUCCCUCUUUCCAGGUCAACUGUGACAAAAACAAUGCUUAUUCAGGACUAAAGACCAAACUUUUACUCCUUUGUAGCUAAUCUAAAAUGGGACAUUUCCUUUAUCAACUUCAUGGUCAGUCCCUCCAAGGUUUCUGAGUAAAAGUGAGAAGAUGCUAAUUUCUAAGAGAGUACUCUAUUAGGGUGAAAAAUUAUUAUAAAAUACAAAAUAAGUACUAAAUAUAAAUAGGAUGGUCGCAUACAGAAUUAUAAAGACCUCUAUAAAUAAUUGAACUAAAAAUAAAAAUAAUUGAAUUUCUUAACGAUUGAUUUAAAUAGUCUGUAUCUCUUUUCUUGAUUACUUAAGGUAGUAUAAAGCAAUAUAUUGAAAAUAUCAACAAAAGAUUUAAAACCUAGAUUUCUAUGAAGAAGAGGCUUUGUAGGUGAAAGAGCACUGAAUUUAGAAUAAAAAAAUUCCAACUCUGCAAUUUACCUACAGAUAGUAUGAUCUUGGGGAGGUCCCUGGGCCUCCCUGAGCCAUGUCGAUAGAAUCAUACCUCAAACACAUUGAAAAUGUGCAAGCAUUAAGUAAGAUAAUGCAAAUGAAACAGAACAAUCUAAAGUGUCUAAUACAGUGCUUCACCAGUCAAUAGAAGAGAGAUAUUAAUUUUAAAAUUUUUCAUUUAGGUGUAAUAUGCAUAUAAUAAAAUGUACCAAUUUUAAGGUGUGAUUUGAUGUGUUUUGACAAAUAUAUAUAAUCAUAUGUCUGGCACUACAGUGAUGUUAUAGAACAUUUCCAUAACCCCCCAAAUUCUAUUGUGCCCUGUUGACAUCACUUCCCUCCCAUUAAAUCCUUGCUUUAAUCUUUUGUACAAUUUCAUAUAAAUGGGAUCAUGCAGUGUGUAGUUUUUUGUGUCUGGCUUUUUUCACUUGGCAUAAUGCUUUUAAUGUUCAUUCUUAAUGUUGUACAUAUUGGUAGUUCCUUUUUAUUACUGAGUAAUAUUUCACUAUGUGGAUACAUAACAUUUUGUUUGUCUAUUGACCAAUUGGUAGGCAUUGGGCUUAUUUCCAGUUUCUGGAUAUUAUGAAGAAAGUUACUACAAUCAUUUGAGUACAAGUCUUUGUAUGGGUAUGUUUUCAUUUUUAUUGGGUAAAUACCUAAAAAGUGGGAUUGCUGGGUUGUAUAAUAAGUGUAUGUUUAAACUGAUAAGAAAUGGCACAGUGCUUUCUAAAGUGGCUGCACCAUUUUGCAUUUCCACUACUCAUGAAUGAAAUUUCUAGUUGUUCCAUAUCCUCAGCAAUAUUCAGUAUUGUAGGUCUUUGUAAUUUUAGUUAACCUAGUAGCUGUGGAGUGAUAUCUGUUCUUUUUUUUUUUUUAAGAUUUUUAUUUAUUUAUUUUAGAGAGAGAGAGGGCAGCGGGGAGAGGCAGAGGGAGAGGGAGAGUAGACUCUCUCCGAGCUGAGUGCAUAGCCCAAUGGGGCUCAAUCCCACAACCCGGAGGUCAGGACCUGAGCUGAAACCAAGAGUCAUCACCCAACCAACUGCACCACCCAGGCACCCUACGAUAUCUGUUUUAAUUUACAUUUCCUUAAUGAUGAAUGAUGUUCAGCAUCUUUCAUAUGAUGAUUUGUCAUUUAUGUACUUUCUUCAGUGAAGAAUCUGUUUAAACCUUUUGCCAAUUUUUAAAAUGGGUUAUUAUCUUGCUUUUGAGAUCUAAGAGUUCUUUUAUAUGUUCUAGAUAAACACCCCUUAUAGAAAUGUGCUUGCAAAUAUUUUCUCCUGGUC
Mirounga angustirostris (Northern elephant seal) is the source of this 3212-nucleotide long non-coding RNA. RefSeq lists it as uncharacterized. Lineage: Eukaryota; Metazoa; Chordata; Mammalia; Carnivora; Phocidae. The record is from RefSeq and is a predicted model, not a curated record. The transcript is spliced from 3 exons.